CGCUUGCGGCAGGCUUAACACAUGCAAGUCGAGCGCGUAGCAAUACGAGCGGCAGACGGGUGAGUAACGCGUGGGAACAACCCUUUUCUACGGAAUAACGCAGGGAAACUUGUGCUAAUACCGUAUACGCCCUUCGGGGGAAAGAUUUAUCGGAGAAGGAUGAGCCCGCGUUGGAUUAGCUAGUUGGUGGGGUAAAGGCCUACCAAGGCGACGAUCCAUAGCUGGUCUGAGAGGAUGAUCAGCCACAUUGGGACUGAGACACGGCCCAAACUCCUACGGGAGGCAGCAGUGGGGAAUAUUGGACAAUGGGCGCAAGCCUGAUCCAGCCAUGCCGCGUGAGUGAUGAAGGCCCUAGGGUUGUAAAGCUCUUUCACCGGUGAAGAUAAUGACGGUAACCGGAGAAGAAGCCCCGGCUAAGUUCGUGCCAGCAGCCGCGGUAAUACGAAGGGGGCGAGCGUUGUUCGGAUUUACUGUGCGUAAAGCGCACGUAGGCGGACAUUUAAGUGUAGGGGUGAAAUCCCGGGGCUCGAACCUCAGGGAACUGCCUUUGAUACUGGGUGUCUAGAGUCCGGGAGAGGUGAGUGGAAUUUCCGAGUGCAGAGGUGACACUUAGUAGAUAUUUGGAGGAACACCAGUGGCGACGGCGGCUCACUGGUCCGGAACUGACGCUGAGGUGCGAUAGCGUGGGGAGCAAACAGGAUUAGAUACCCUGGUCGUCCACGCCGUAAACGAUGAAUAUGUGCCGUCGGGCAGUGUACUCUUCGGUGGCGCAGCUAACGCCUUAAACAUUCCGCCUGGGGAGUACGGUCGCAAGAUUAAAACUCAAAGGAAUUGAAGGGGGCCCGCACCAGCGGUGGAGCCUGUGGUUUAAUUUGAAGCAACGCGCAGAACCUUACCAGCCCUUGACAUCCCGGUCGCGGUUACGAGAGAUAGUAUCCUUCAGUUCGGCUGGACCGAAGACAGCUGCUGCAUGGCAGUCGUCAGCUCGUGUCGUGAGAUGUUGGGUUAAGUCCCGCAACGAGCGCAACCCUCGCCCUUAGUCACCAGCAUUCAGUUGGGCACUCUAAGGGGACGGCCGGUGAUAAGCCGAGAGGAAGGUGGGGAUGACGUCAAGUCCCCAUGCCCCUUACGGGAUGGCCUACCCCCGUGCCACAAUGGUGGUGACAGUGGUCAGCGAGACCGCGAGGUCGAGCUAAUCUCCAAAAGCCAUCUCAGUUCGGAUUGCACUCUGCAACUCGAGUCCUUGAAGUUGGAAUCGCUCGUAAUCGCAGAUCAGCAUGGUGCGGUGAAUACGUUCCCGGGCCUUGUACACACCGCCCGUCACACCCCGGGAGUUGGUUCUCCCCGAAGGUAGUGCGCUUACCGCAAGGACGCAGCUAACCAUGGAAG
Molecule: ribosomal RNA, 1389 nt
Filed under: Sinorhizobium sp. JNVU RA6
Lineage: Bacteria; Pseudomonadati; Pseudomonadota; Alphaproteobacteria; Hyphomicrobiales; Rhizobiaceae
Description: 16S ribosomal RNA
Rfam family: Bacterial small subunit ribosomal RNA
Source: RNAcentral